AAUGUUCAUCUUGAACCCUGCCUGUCUUUUUAUUACAAUUGGCAACUAUGGGCAAUUAAAUGUCAAGAGUGAUGUGUACAGCUUUGGUGUUCUGCUGCUUGAGCUUCUGACUGGGAAAAAAACCUAUUGAUCAUACUUUACCCCAUGGACAACGAAGUCUUGUGACAUGGACAAGAUUAGGCAGUUUGUUGAUCAAAGACUAGGUGGAGAAUGCUCCCAAGGUUGUUGCGAAGAUUGCAGAUGGCAGCUGUUUCUGAAUUGUGUGUGCAAUUUGAAGCUGAUUUUCGGCCAACUAUGAGCACUGUUGUCAAAGCUCUUCAGCCUCUGUUAAAUGCUUGACCUGGACCUUCAGGUGAAACACCAAUCACCUCUCUCUCUCACACACACACACGCACACACUCAUUUCCUCUCUCUUUCUAUCUCUCUGAGCCUGUGUGUGCGGAUGUGCACCCACUUUGAAGCAUUCAAAAUAUAUAAUGAGGGUACAAACUCUAGAAAGUGAUGACAAUUUGUUUAUUCAAAGUUCCAUAUGCAUGCAUUAUAUACUUUGUGUUCAAUUUGUUAAUAAUGUGUAAACUUUUUCUUUCUUUGCAUAUUUUCUUUUUCUAAAUUAUUCCUAACCUUUCUUCCUCUUAUCCUCAUCUUGUCCUUUACUUUAGUAAAUGGUUUCGCACCUUUGGUUGCUUGGAUUACAAGAAAAUCGUGUAGAAAGAGAAAGAAUAAGGCAUAUAGAAACUUCGUUCAGCGGGUUAGGUUGGUGAGUAUUAGAAGAAAGGGAAGAUAAAAUAGUUAAAAAGAUACAUUUCCGGGUUGCAGCAUUCUUGGGGUAGGAAUUAAUGAUUGAUGAUGUAGAAAUAUAAGUUUAGAGAUGGAAAGAGUGGGGUUUGUUUUGAAUAUUUGAGAAAAGAAUAAUGGAUUGGUGGGGGGAUUCGUUAGGUUUUCGGUCUACUUUUCUCAUCUUUAUAUGUAUGUCGUGUCAUCGGCAACGACACACUUUAGUAACAGUCUACAGUUGGAGUUGGGUGCGAGGACCGGCCCCCGAGUGAGGUGUUAAUGAACAAAUUACAAAAGCUUCUCCUUGGGGCCGGCAAUAAUUUGCUGAUUAGGUAAAACAGUACAACCUUGUUUAUACUAAUACUGCUUUAGUUUAAUUAGCUAUCUAAGUAAAUAAAUCAGCAAUGCUUUACUCUAAUAAAGCAAUAUAACGUGUCAUUAUUAUAGGA
Gossypium arboreum is the source of this 1223-nucleotide long non-coding RNA. RefSeq lists it as uncharacterized. NCBI's taxonomy places the organism in Eukaryota, Viridiplantae, Streptophyta, Magnoliopsida, Malvales, Malvaceae. The transcript has 3 exons. The record is from RefSeq and is a predicted model, not a curated record.